GGUGUCUCCCGGCGCGGCCCGUCCUCCGUGGGGAGGCCAGGCCGAGGCGAGCACACCUGGAGCGCAGCAACGCCGUACCUGGGUGACAGCAGCGUGACGUUUCAGCGCGUCUUUUCUCAUUUGAUCCUGGCAACCACCUUCUGCCACCGAAAGGUCCCCAUUGGGUAUCUGGCAAAACCGGAGAUCAGAGGGAUUCAGUCCCAGGAAUUUGGCCGACUCAGCCUCAAUAUGUAGCCCAGAGCUGUAUGUGGGGAGGUGUUCAGAGUUUUUGUUGAAUGAACAUAUGCAUCUAUUUUUUACAUCCUACUGCACCCCUGAGCAGAGAGCUUCCCCUCAAGCCCCUCAGCUCCGACUUCCCAGCCUGACAACUGUUCAGGGGAGCUCUUGCGAUGCUGCACAGGGGGCGACCAGAUUCUCAGGGCCCAAAACAGCUGCCAGGCAAGCCUCUCUCUGUUGGCUCUUCUCCGAGCUCCUGGACACUGGCAGGAUCCUUAUGAUCAUCAUCUCAGACAGAAGAACAAUCAAACACAAGAUCAUUUUGGAAGGGCCCGAAGAGUACAACAUGAUAAAGAGAUUCUGA
RNAcentral lists this long non-coding RNA (580 nucleotides) under Bos grunniens (domestic yak). Its description in RNAcentral is "lncRNA (ENSBGRG00000008059.1)". The record is from RNAcentral. Lineage: Eukaryota; Metazoa; Chordata; Mammalia; Artiodactyla; Bovidae.